AGUGAACGCUGGCGGUAGGCCUAACACAUGCAAGUCGAACGGCAGCACAGUAAGAGCUUGCUCUUACGGGUGGCGAGUGGCGGACGGGUGAGGAAUACAUCGGAAUCUACUGUGUAGUGGGGGAUAACGUAGGGAAACUUACGCUAAUACCGCAUACGACCUACGGGUGAAAGCAGGGGAUCUUCGGACCUUGCGCGAUAGAAUGAGCCGAUGUCGGAUUAGCUAGGUGGCGGGGUAAAGGCGCACCAAGGCGAAGAUCGGUAGCUGGACCGAGAGGAAGAACAGCUACAUUGGAUCUGAGAAUGGUCACAGACACCUACGGUAGGCCGCAGUGCGGACUCUUGCACGAGGGGGGAGAGCCUGAUCCAGCCAUAUCGCGUGAGUGAAGACGGCGCUCUGGUGGGAAAGUCCUGUUGUUGUGAAAGAAAAGCAGCUCUUUCACCCCCCGCUGUUAUGACGGUACCCAAAGAAUAAGCCCCGGCUAACUUCGUG
This 492-nucleotide ribosomal RNA is filed under the name uncultured bacterium. RNAcentral's name for it is "partial 16S ribosomal RNA". It matches the Rfam family "Bacterial small subunit ribosomal RNA", at positions 29 to 507 of the family's 1533-position model. The record is from RNAcentral.